GACAGGGGCUCCCAGGGCCCACCCAACCUGGCUCUGGAGAUGUAGGGUUACCCAUUUCUCAGCUGCCUUAUAGGCACUUAUUUAUAGCUUGACAAAUUAUCUUUUUUACUUACUAUUAACAAGUCAGGCUGAGAAAGAAGAACUUCAAAGCAAUCAAGGCACAAUCCUGUUCUGCCACCUCUUUUGAGAAGGCAAUAAUUGACACCCAAAUAGCACAUGCAGCACUGGCCACUUCAGUCUCUCAAGCAGAAAGUGGAUGCUUCAAGCGAAUUGUGCAAGAAGAUUAAGGGAGAAAUAUAAAAAGGGGAAGAAAAAUAGUGAAUGAAGAAGCCAAGUAACCACAGAGAAAAUAAACAACGCAUGCCAGAGGACACUAAGAAAAAUGCCCAGCUUUGACCCACAAAGCAAAGGACUCAUUCCCUGUUCUGCUCCAACAAAAUCUUUCUACUCGAGGACUUAGCCAGAACUCUGACCACCUGGACAGCCAGGUUCCCUAAGACUUUAGCAUGCAUGGUAUGUUAAUCUCAUACAGCAUGCUCAUGGGACCAAAGAAAUCCUCUUUCCAUGCUUGGCUCCUCCGAAAGGUUACUGAGAAGCAUUUGGUAAUGAAGAGACUACAUGUCCUACCCAAGUCCUUUGGCAAAGGAAGACAGAAUUUGUGUAUGGUAUUAUUUUGGAAGUGAAAUUUUAAGCUUCUGUUGUGUAGCAUUAAGUAAAUAGUUAAGGAUAAAGCUGUUUUUAAUUAAUAUAUACAUAUAUAUAAAUAGGUAGAAAGAUACAGAUUAGUUUUUCACUUUAGCAAACCUAAAAGAAUCUUCUAUAAUAUCUCCUAAUUCUCAGGAAGUAGCUAUUUCUUUUCAGUGAUCCUGUCACCUUCUGUCAGCAUCCCUCUACCUUUCUUCAUCCUCUUAAUUAGUGACUGCAUGCUCUGCCUUUGUUCUCUCUACUCCCCUUUAAGCUGGAAAAAUAACAUCGGAGGAAUCCCGGAGAAGGCUUUGUACCUGCACAGAAGGGUGUCACAAAUAGCUUGUUAAUGUUUUGAAAAGUGACUAAUAAGUAGCUACAAUGGAUAACCUUUCAGCACACUGCCUAAUUUGUUAAAAGCUUAAUCAGUUUAAUGGGGGAUAGUUUAGUACCAGCACAGAAAGAACAAAUUGAAACUAAUACCAGCAAUGCCAUUCCUCUGCACCUCUACAACCAAGGGUUUUCUCCCCAGAUGUCAGCACUCAAUGGAAUCUACUGAAGUGCCAAGGCCUAAGUUAGAUGUAAAACCUGAGUUCAUGAAGUAUGCUCAGCAGAAAACACUGAAAUUAAAACAUUUCAGCCCAAACUCCUCAGGUAUAAAUAAAUGUCAUCUUCAGGGAAUAUCCUCUAUCAGUUAGAUCCAACAAAAACUAAUUUCUCAAUUUUGUGCACCUAUCUUAUCAUUACAAUCUUAUUUGUAAUCCCUGUUUUCUUAUGGUAUGUUCAACAUUAACAAAGCAGUGGAAAUACCGAAUACUUUACCAUUGGUCUGUCCCUGCCAAUACGCCUAACAAAGUUGAAACCUGAGCAGUGGUAAGAGACCUCAGUGUAAAUACUAUUCACACCCACUGCUACAUCUGCCAGUGCUGAUUUUCAAAACCAGAGAUGAAGACACACAAAUUUAACACAAUUAAGCAAAAUGACUUGUUUACAGAAGAUACCUUCCCACUUACCAGUUCCUCAAAUCUCAAUGUAUUUCAUACCUAAGGGGAACACACGUACUACUAACAUGAGCUUUAUUGAUAUAUAUAUUGCAUGGUAAAGAGACUCCUAUUAGUUCCAGUCUUCCAGCCUGGGAUGCAACAUGACUGCAGAAGAAGUAGCAUUACAAUUCUAAAUCCUUCUGGUGGAAAAUUACCCAAGGCUAAUUAUU
Non-coding RNA from Coturnix japonica (Japanese quail), 1897 nucleotides. The record is from RefSeq and is a predicted model, not a curated record. Lineage: Eukaryota; Metazoa; Chordata; Aves; Galliformes; Phasianidae.